Molecule: non-coding RNA, 26266 nt
Organism: Oryctolagus cuniculus (rabbit)
Lineage: Eukaryota; Metazoa; Chordata; Mammalia; Lagomorpha; Leporidae
Source: RefSeq, a predicted model, not a curated record
GCCUGCGCGGUGCACCUGGGAGGUUGCAGGUGAGCCCGGGAUGGGGAGGGAGUUAGGGAUUCCAGGUAGGUUGCUGCAAAAGGAGAAAGCCCAGGAGGGAUGGAUCAGGGGCCUGAGGCUUUGAAUCGAGUGUUUCUCUUUGGGGCAGGGCCUUGUGUGUUGUAGAACUUGACAACUGUGACCGCUCCUUCUUCCAGCCGCGCUCUGCUUGGGGCUGUGAAGUACCGGGGCAGGCGGCUGCAUCAUAACCUGCAGUGUGUAUCCGGUGACCAUGGGGAGGAAGAGGGCUGUGGGGAGAAGGGAGAGUGCUGUGAGGAGUGUGCAGGUGUCCACGGGCAGGGGAUGCUUGCUUCGCGAUUCUUCUCCGUAUUGCAUCCGAAGGCUGUUGUCUCUUUGGCCUGACUUUUCUCCUCUGCCUUGCCCGCAGAGGCUCCAGGGUUCCGUGGCUCUGAGCAGGCUUCCUCUAAGUGACUCUGCAACUGGGCUUUCUGCAGAGCAAGGCGCCUGGUUGGGUUUUUUCUCACCGCAGGGGGAGCAGGCUCCAUCUCUCAGCCCGAGUUGGUGAUUUAGUGACCCGGCCGACCUGGGUGACUGUGAGAAGGUCUGAGUGCAGUCAGACACAGGAGCAGGUGACAGGUGCUCAGAGCGGGGACGGGGGCCUCUGCCGGGUCCCUCGCUUCCAGGCCCCCUCUCCGGCGGAGGUCCCAGACCCCUAUGCUUGGCCCCCCGGGUGAGGCAGGAGUCUCAGGAGGGGAGAUGACAGCCUUCACCCUAACAGGGUCAGAGCCCAUCAAAGCAGCUCGAUGGAGACGUAGACUUCCUCGGGGUUGCUGCUUCCACCGCUGGGCGCCAUCACGGCUGAUGUAAAACCCUCUACAAUUCACGAACUGGGCCUGUGUUUGCUUAGACCAGGAAGCGUUAUAUGGUGGAUGGGGAAUUCAUGAAGCUUUUUAUUUGGUCUUUGACAAUUCAGUUGGUGGCAUCCUGGUGAUUAGAUUUUUCCCUGGCCGCAGCCCCGUGGCGGUGGUGUCGGUUUUUCCAUGGUGCUGUGUGCGCUUAUUGAGAGUGACUGAGCAGGUGACAGGACCUUUUAAAAUGAUGGCAUUUGUCAUUCUGCCACACAGGAGGGGGAGGGAGGGACGGCGGUGUCCACAUCAUUUCCGAAGGCCACGCUUGCUCCCUUUGCCUCUCAGCUGUCUGACAACACGCGUCCUGCCCCUCCCUCCCACUGCAACACUUCCAGUAGCUGCUCACCCAGAGUCGGAGGAAUGUGAUUCUGACUCCCCGGUGCUUUCAGGUGCCCCUGGAAGGGACACACGACAGCAGAGGGACACCUCUGGCCUGCUGUGGGGAGAAAAACAGGGCACGUUGAUGGCUAUCAGCGUUAAACUGGGAUCAUCUCAGGAGAUCAAUGGGAACCUCGCUGGCCAGCUGCCCGUUACUUUUUAUUAUUAGUAUAACAGCAUAUGGGUGUCUACUAUGUGUCAGCAGUGUGCUAAGCACGUUGCAUAUAUUAUAUCUUUAAGUCUUCACAGAACAGCCCUGCAAGGUAAGAAAAAGUCUGUACCCUUUAAACACGCAGAAGCAAGGCUCAGAGAGGGUAAGUACAUUUUCUGUCAUCACACAGCUGAUAAGAGGCACGGCUGGUUUUCAGAUAACAGUCUGGCUGCCUCCAGUGUCCUUACUGCUUUCAUUCAGCCAGCCAACUUGAUCCCACGCCUUCAGGAACCCUAGACAGAAGUCAGACUUCAGGGCUGUAACUUUUUUAUUAUGGCCUCUGGGUGUGAUGUUCUGUCCUGGUCAUUUUGCGAGUCAAGACAGCAUCAGGCCAGGGAGUACAGCCUGCUGUGCUCUGUGCUAGGCACACAGCGUGUUAUGAACAAAACACUUCCUUAUGGCAGAUACUGCCUUAGAAAUGAGUGGUUGCUCAGAGCCAGAAUCCGUGUUUUACUGCCACUGACGAAGCUGCUGUCUUCCUUUGGCAUUCGUUCAAGAAGCGAGUCUGACACCAAGGGGCAGUCGGUCUUGACCUCAAACUUACUUUCUUGGAGAUGGGGACAGGCUGAGCAUGGCGAGGAAGCGCAGGCUGCCUGCGCUGGGGAUGGCCAUGCUCCCCUGGACCAUGAGCCCCUAGCCUCCACCCUGGGCCAGAAACGAGCUUGCUUCCCCUUCCCUGCGCAUCAGAAGGCCUGUGGGAGCACGACCAAAUGGACAAGAAAGGGACCCUGAGCAGUGACUUCCCUGAGUUCAGAGGAGUAAUAGGAAGGCAGCCUUUCUCUCCCCUUCCACCCCAGUGCUGCAGCUCCGUGCCGGAUCAGGCUGCUUUGACUCUGACCUGAGUUGGCAGUCGGCACCAUUACCAGGCUCGUUGCUUGGCUAUACAUAGCAGGUGCUUGGCAAAAUGCUUUUUAAUGGAUGGGUCAGUGUAAAUGGGGCGCCUUCUCCAUUUGCUCGGCCUGAUGCUGUUUUCGGUCCCCUCUAGACCUGCCCUCUCUCGGGGCUGGAUCCAGGAUUUGAGCCUGCAGCCCCUGCAGCCCCUGGAGCCCCCUUGGCCCUUGUGUUCUGCCCUUGCCUGGGCCCUUCGGAGAGAAGCGAGUGGCUUCUACUUGCUGUCUGAUCCAUCACCAGGCGUAACCUGCAGGACUGUGGGAAUCUUCCAGCCUUUACUGGAGGUCUUGCUGGCCUGACCCUGCAAACCUUUCCCUCUCCCCUGGCUGGUUUCUGUUCUGACCGCAUCACUGGCUGGUUGGAGACUUGUUCUACCGUUGCAGAAAGCCUUCUUUCUUUCUUACUGUUACACUGGCAUUUGAGACACGGUCCAGCUGCCUCCAGCAGCUCCCCACAGACCCCCACCUCUUCCUCUCCGCAGACCCUCCCUGCCCUGCACUUUCCCUGAAUUCCCACUUCUGGUGCGCAGAGAGGUUGCCCUCUGCUCAUUGUAGAGCAAGACUGGCCGGCCGGCCGAGAGCCCAUGUGCCCCGUGAAGGCAUUUGCUCUUCCCGGCUCUGGUUGCCAUCUCUGCUUUCCCGGCACCUUGCUGAUGAGUUACUCAGGUAUCCUCCAGCGAGGGAUCUCCCAGAGCCAAUUAUUACCGUUUAUUUAAUAUCUCAAAAUACCUUAAGCACGGAAGAGCGGUAGCAGCCCGACCGCUGUCAGGGCUGGAUGAUGGCUUUCCCGCAUGUUCUCCGACGCUGGUGGGCCCCGUGCUUCCCACCCAGGUUUCCCGGGUGCCCCGUUGACAAUUGUGUUCCCAACUGCACCAUUCAGGAUUAAUUUCUGUGCUUGUAAUUGAUACUAUAAAUAAAAUAAAUCCGCAAUUAUCUCAGUUAACAGAGGGAAGGGCUAACACAGAAACUUCCAGUAUUAAGUAACACCAACGGAACUGUAUGGAGAUGUGUUCUAUGAUGUAAACGACUCGAAGCAGACUUUCCUGUGUGGUUUUCCUUGGGAUCACAGUGGGCCCCGACUGCAUAAGUCGGGCUGGGGAGGAAGCUCCGGUGGGGGCGUGGGAAGCAUGAGUGAGGAGAGCCUUAGGAGCCCGUGGCCAAGGAGCGCCAGCUGCGAUGUGGAUGCCCCUUGGUCCUCUGGGCUUGGGGAAGUCACAGGGCAGUGCCAGCUGCUGCCCUGUCGGCUCAGUGACAGAGUUGAGACCAGCAGCCCAAGUGUCACCUCGUGCUCUGAGAUGAGAGAGUUUGACAGUGCCCCAAAUCACUUUCAACAAAAACAGAAUCUAUUUUCCCUUCUUCCAAGCACGAAGCAGCCUCCAGGUGAUUUGCAUUUCCCUUUAAAAUAUAAUCCUGGAAGGGCCUGCCUGAGGUUCCAGGAGGCCUGGAGCCUGGCCUGCGAGAUCAAUACAGGCAGCCACAGAAUGGGGCAUUGGGGCUCCCCCCAGGGCCCCAGCCUGGUUUUUGUUAACCCUUCAGUUCCCAAAGUCUCUGCCCUCAUCCACUGCCUCCAGGACUCAUCAGCUCCCCUCCCAACACCCAAGUAUCUUGUCCUGAGACAUUGGCCAGCAGUUCCUCCUGCAUGGUGGGUCUCCUGCCCACGGGACUCUGAUCGUGGGAUACUUAACUGGGAACAAGUGACAUCCAAGUUUUUUCUUUGUGGACAUUUCCUAACUGACAAUUCUCUGAUGCCAAAAUUCCCGAGAGAGGAUGCAGACCUGUGUUCCUUUGUUUGUUCAACAUUUACUGAGUGCCUACUGUGUGCCUGGCAGUGCAGAAGGCUCUGUGGGUCCACAGACACUGUGAUCACACAUCAGCCCAACAUAAGGCACCUGCUCAGUUCUUCUCUUUUGAACCGGAGCACGCUUCCCACUGUUCCUGAGAACACCCCCUGCCCCACAUAAUCUCAUCCAGGAACUGGGUACCCCCUCCUGCCUCCCAUCACAGCCCUUGCAUUCCUCUUUCUUGCCAUUGCCACAUCUUGUUAGCCUGAGCUGCUUGUGGUUCUCUCCUGCAGGUUGUGAGCCCUCUGAUGGCAGAUCUCCAAUCCAGAGAUCAUUGCACGUUUCAUGCCUAGCCCAGGGCUGGGCUGUGGUGGGCCUCAGUAAACAUUCAUCCAGCCACUCGGCUUGGUUGGCACCCUGGCUUCCCCAGCUUCAGUUAUAGCCACACUGUCAUGUCGGAGGGCAUUUGUGGGCAGGGAAGGAGUAAGGAGGCCAAGCAGGGUGUGUGGCAGUUCUGACUUCAGCUGUAGCAGGCUGGGGGCCUCUUCUCUUCUCCUCUCUUCUUUUUUUUAAGAUUAUUUAUUUGAGAGGCAGAGUUACAGAGAGAGAGAGAGGAAGAGUCAGAGACAGGUCUUCCAUCCACUGGUUCAUUCCCCAAAUGGCUGCAACGGCCAGAGCUGGGCUGAUCCGAAGCCAGGAGCCAGGAGCUUCUUCCAGGUCUCCAACGUGGGUGCAGGGACCCAAGCACUUGGGCCAUCUUCUGCUGUUUUCCCAGGCCACAGCAGAGAGCUGGAUUGGAAGAGGAGUAGCCGGGACUCGAACUAGUGCCCAUAUGGGAAGCUGGCACUGCAGGCGGAAGCUUAGCCCACUGUGCCACUGUGCUGGCCCCAUGGGGGCUUUCUUGCGGAGGAUCUUUGUCACUGCUUUUGGCUAUUUGACCAUGCGGCUCCCCUCCCCAUGACGCUCCCCUUCAUUCAGCAGAUAGCUGCUGAGUCCCCAGUAGGCGUUGGGACUACAGGGCUGAAGAAAGCACUCUCUGAUCUUGUGGAGCUUUUGCCCUGGUGGAUGGGACCAGACAGUGAACAGAUCAACAAGCAGGUGCAUCAAGCCAGACUACAGAGAACAGUGAAGCCUAAUGUGACAGAUAGGGAGUGCUGAGUGUGGGGGCCGAGCGGACCAAGGGACACCAAGCGCACGGGGAGGGCCUCUUAGAACAGGUGGAAUUUGGGCAGAGUCCUGAGGGAAACUGGUGAGCUUGGGGGAACAGCGUUCCAGGAAGAGAACACACAGAGGCCUUCAGGCAGCAGGGCCUGGGGGUACUGUUCUGGGAACAGCAAGAGUCCCAGUGAUUGAGCCCCGUGAGCGGGGGCAGAGGAGAACUGGGAGGCCAGAGAGGUAACGGAGGGAGCCACUCAUGCAGACUCUGCCGUAGGAAGGGUUUUAGGGCUCCGGAGCUGUCCAAGGAGCACCUAGCUGCUGGGUAGUAUCCGUGUUACUCACGGGAGCUGAGGGUGGCGGCAGGGGAGGUGGGAGAAGGGUGAGACUCUGCACAUACUGGAGGGUUGGGGUGUCAGGAGCUUUCCCAGGAAGCUCUGGCUGGUCCUGCUCCCGCCCAGCAGGCUGAGAACUUCCGUGGCUCCGCCAGCAGCAGGGCACGGCAUUGAAGGCACAGCCAGGAGGGCCUUCUCCACCAGGCACUGGGAGAGGCUUCCAGGCAGCCGAGAGCUCACUGAGCAGUGAGCGAGCCCAGAGAGCCUGAGCUGCAGCACGGGCACCUCACAGAAGGCCUGGCGCUGGGAGCUGGGAGCAGACGAGGAGCACCGCACCUGCCUGGAACUUGCCUUUCACCGCAGGCACCGAGAUGGGCACCUGGCGAGGGGUGGGGCUUGUGCUCACUGCCAUGAGCGGGACCCAGGCGCCACGCUAACCGUCUGACACAGGGGUGGACAGGGCUUCUGGGCUGCGGGGGAGGGGAAGAGGAACUCCCACAGUGUGUAUGUGUGUGUGUGGAUGUGGGAGCGUGAGCCUUCUGGGGGCUUCACACCGGGACCCUCACGUUGGCUGUGUCUUCCCAUCCGGCAGUGAGUUCCAACGGCUGCAACUUCUGGAAGGAGAUGUUGAGAGCGGCACCCGCUUCCCCACUCUCUUCUGGAAUCUCUCAAAGUCAAUCUCAGUGCUCCCCACCCAGCCCCAGCUCUCUCCUUUUGUGGGCUUUUGUUUGGGUUUCCCUCUGGAAACACACCAGUAAACACAGAGUUCUUCCCCAGGAGCAGCAAUUGUUCUGCCUCACCUUGGUGUAAACAGAAGGCAGGAGAGGAGGAGCCCCAGCCCCUCCGUCUCCCUCACCUGCCCCAGGGCUCUGGCCCCUGCUCCAUCCUGGCUGGGAGCUCUUCCUGGCCAGGGAGAGGAGCAGAGCCUCUCUCUCCGCCUGUGCCCGUCCUGGGGCAGGCGGACCUGCACACAGCUGACCUCCUCCCGGAAGCUGAUGCCCUACGUGUUCCUCCCACCUGUCUCUGGCGAUGUCCAGGGCACUUUUGCUUUUCUGGGAAGUGGGGACUGGGUCUCCGCCAGUCGCUUUCGGAAGCAGUGUACAGGAUUGACUUCAACCCAGCUUUCUAACAGGAACCUGGGCGUGACAAGGACGAAGGAGUUCCCACUGUGCUUUUAGGCAUCCUAAGUUCUCUGCGCAGAGCCUCAGCCCUCACGGCCUCCAGGUUGUGUCCAGCCUGCUUUUCUCCCUACCUCCACCUGCCUCUGCUGGGCCCCAUGAGAAUGAGGGGGGUUUGGCAAGGUGGGGGACUGGGGAGAGAGGACAGCUCAGUCGUUGCCGACCACGGCUGCCUGGAAGAAGAUUGCAUUUAGCUCGUGUAAUCGUAUUCCGGGUGUCAGGACUCGAAUGAGUGUCAUUAAACAGAAUCAGAAAAAUCGUUUUAAUAUAAGUGCCACCUCACACUCAGGCUAGUUGAUGGAGAGAUGGAUGAGGCUGGAGACGCCUCCUUUGUAAUGUGAUGCUGUAAAACCCCAUCACCUUCAUUAUUUCCUACCGAGCCAGCGCAUCAUAAUACCCGUGAGCGGCAGAACAGCUUGAAUUUAAUAUACAGAAAGUCCAAUCAAACAAUAAAUGGAUGGAACUAUAUAAAGAAACCAUUUUCUGGGAGGCUGGCUCCAUUCUCUGGGAUUCAGCUCCCUGACACAUGAAAUGUGCAUCAAUUUUCCCCAACUAAUGCAGCUGCCGAAUCUCCAUGUGUGAUAUUUGUUUGCUUCCGAAGUGGGAAAGGGGAGCUUCUUCCCCCUCCCCCCUACAUUAUCUGGCUAUCAGUGCAAAGUUGCAAAUCUCAUUUCCUUUGAUUUGCAUCCAGUGGCUCUGGGUGACACAGCAGGGCAGCCUCAAAUGCCAGGACUAGAGGCAGGGCCCGCCUGCCCGACCGCCCUCCCUCCCUCCCUCCGUUCCAGAACCUCAGCGGUUUCGGCAGCACUUUGUCGUCCUCUUUAAGGGAAUCAAGUGCUGGCCACCAGAGCGGGUUGGGUAGGGGGUCUGGAAGUCUACCAUUGGCAGUCCCUGGAGCGGGAAGGCCACACCAUAGGGCUGGCUGCCGUACCCCGCCCCCCCGCCCGCAACCCCGUGCCUGUGAGGUUGUGAUGGUGCAGAAGCUUCAUCCCGCAUUGGGUUCCUCCCGCCAGUGAAGUCACCCCUUCCCCUUCCGUCCCCAUGCUCAGCCUGCUAUUGAGACGUGGUGAACCCAGACACCAGCUGAUCAGCCAAACAAUUAAAAAGGCAAAUGCUUAAAAAUGGCACAUGUCAAAGGCUCCUGGAGGUACUGUUUUUCUGCUUCUGAUGUGGGACUGUUUCCUGUGCUAUUUUUCCAGUGCCGUGGAUAACUGAGAGUUAAGCAUAAUUACAGGCUUAUAGCUGCUGAGAAGUAUCAUUGGUUUAUUUUUACUUCUUUCUGGACAUGCUUACUUAGAAAAAGAUAGGAGAGUUAAACUGAACAAGAUAAAAAAACCAUGGCCAGCAUACAUCUUGAUUCAAUUCAGCAAACACGGAACACCCAGCAUUUGCAAGGAACAUUAUUAGACAAUGUGGAGGAUAUAGAAACAAAUAAGGUACUAGCCAGGUCCCUAAGAAGUUUGCAAUAUAGUGAGUGAGCAGAGUAUGGUCAUGAGAGUGGAUGAGAGAGAACGGGGCAUUCGCCGAAAUGGUCAGGAGGUGCUGAUACAGCCUAAAUGCUUAAUAAAUAUUUGCUGCUGGAUGCAUGACGAGGUGACAUUUCGGCUAGACCAGCAACGGCAAGUAGGAUUUUAAUAUGUGAAAAUGGGAAGUCCAAGUAAAUGGCAAAAGGGCAUGGUGUUUAGGGAGCUUAACUAAUAUGCUGGUUUUCUAGUGUUUAGGGUUUAUGAAGACAAAAAUAGCUCUAGAUGAGCAGGAAUAAAACAUUUGCUACAGAUGUACAAGGUCUAAAAUAUUAGGCUAAAGAAUUUGUUUGGUAGGCACGAGGGAGCCUGAUGCAUUGAUUAGGCAGAUUUAUUUGGCAUCUGUCUAAUGCAUGAAUGUUAGAAGGGAGCCCUUGGACACAGGGUAGUUGGCCAGAAGAUGGAUCCAAGUAAAAGGUAAAGAAGGCCUGACCUGGGAUGGUGGCAGUGGAAAAGGAGAGGAAGGAGUGGAGUGGAGAGAGCAACAAGAGGCGGCGGAGUCAGAAGCAUGCAGGAGUGAUCAGCCUGGGUGAUUAGAGGUAUGGAGUUGGCAAACACUUGAGGAGGAACAGGUGGGCAGGAGGACAGCCGAUGCACUUGGCUUUGGAUCCAUGGUGUUUACAGUUAACCCUGGGUGUCCUUGAGGUGGCCGGCAGCCAGAUGGCAAGACGGCCCUGGAGCCCAGCAGGAAGAACAGGGCUCAGAGGCACUUUCCAAAGCCCUCGGCCGAGGCAGGACAAAUAGAUGUGAGCAGCCAAGGAAACACGAAGGGAAGGCAAGGAGCGAGGGCCCUGCAGAACACUUCCUGCCCCAUGUGCUGGUGCUUGGGCCGUGGCCCCCGCUAGGAACGUUGCUGCCACCUGCAAACAGCCGUGCCAAAGCUUCCAGCCAAGGCCUGUGCCGGUUCCCUUUCAUGCUGUGUUUCUGCUGGAACUAAAAGGGAAGAUUGGUUUUCUGAGGAAAACAAGAGGGUGUUUUUUUUUUUUUUUUUGUAGUCUCCUACAAUGAUAAUUAACCAGCACCCGCUCAGGAAAGCAGAAUUUGUUUAUUGGCUUUGCUAAAUGUAAACAGACACAGGGCCACUUGCAAUGACACGUGGGUGGGAGAUGGGGUCUGAAUGAUCACAGACCAAGAGCCGACCCCGCCUGGCCUGGAAUGGGGCUGACUGAGCGUGGUGCAGCCUCCGUGGGCCUCUUGGGGCCGGAUCCUUAAGUAGAGUUCCAGAGGCUCAAGAGGCUGUUCCUCUCCUUGGAGAAAAGGGUGCACCCUUGGCAUCACUGGGAGCACCCUCUGAUCCAUCACCCCUAGGAGACUUCUGGGGCCCCUGGUGAGCAACUAGGGCAGGCGACGGUUCAAUGAUUCAGUAAACAUGCGUGGAGCUGCAGCUGGCACUGUGAACAAGACACAGACCUAGUUGGCGGUGAGGGGCUCCAAAAGAGAGAGCAGAUGGGGACUGAAUCCUUGGAGGCAGGCGUGAGGUUCACGUUCUGCAGAUGAGAAGAUAGACAGCAUGCCCAAGCUCCCACAUUAUAGUAGCAAUUACUAGACUCAUGCUGAGGUCCUUUGCCUCCAUUGGAGUCCGGUAGCUUUAUAAGGAGCCCCAGUGCAACAACAGACUUACCGUGAGCUAUGUUCCUAGGCUCAGGAAAGUAAGAGAUGAAUAAAAGACUGGAAAGUGUGAGAAGAAUGUGGAGCUGGCAGGAACCAGGGAAGGCUUCUUGGAGGAGGUGGCAUUUCAGCUGACCCUUGAAAGAAGAUGGUGGGAAAAUUAGAUGCCUCCAUUCAUUUGAUCAUUUUCUCAACAACUGUUGUUCUGCUGGAGGCUGAGGGUGUGUCUGUUAAGUGAACAGACAGAUGCUCUGGAGCUGACAUUAUAGUGGGAGUCGCAGACAAUAAACAAAUGAGCGCACACAAUGAAAUGAAUAGUUGAUCUAAAAGCUGUGAAAAAAAAGAGGCGAGACUGGCGAGGGGAGGGGAAUGAAGGCCAUUAGCCUGACCUGUGCUGAGAGCUGAGGGUCGCAGCCCCCUGAGGAUGCGAACAGCCGGUCCUCCUGCUGUCCCUGAGCAGAAGCAUGGUGGGCACAGUUGGUUAGCCUCAGAGGGAGGCCGUCUCCAGGCCGGAAGUGACGCACUUGAGUCUCUUCAGGGCAGCUCCCCAAAAGGUGGGGAAGCGGCUGUUUGCUGUAUCUGCUGAGGAUGAGUGAGUAGAAGUGGGUUCACCCUGACACAGGAGACUCCUGUCGCUGUCCUUAUCAGCAACCAUGGCAAUACCACGACACAGUUGGGGAUGGGUCAGGUGGAAGCCAGGAGCCUGGGACUCUACCUGGGCUUCUACAAGGGUGCAGAGGCCCGAUUGGGCCGUCUUCUGCUGCCUUCCCAGGUACACUAGCAGGGAGCUGAAUCAGAGUGGAGCAGUGGGAAACUCUAACUGGCACUUGUAUGGGAUGCUGGCAUUGCAGAUGGCAACUUAACCCACAGUGCCGCCACGCUGGUCCCUUAAGUAUAAAUUGCUGAUAUGCACUUAAUCCUGCUGCUAAUCAUGCAAGAGAGGCAUUGCUGAUCUCUGUAGACGAGGAAACGGAGGCCUGCUCAGAGCCUGCUGCUGGUGCCUGGAGGUGCUGGAGUCCGCGGGGCACUGGUUGGAGCAGGGUCUGCUCUUGUCCCCGCACUAAGCCGCCAGAUUUCCCUGGGAGAGUUUGGGAGGCUGAAGUGUGCUCCCUGGGAGACGAAGGAAGCUCCUUCUGCAGCUUCUGCCUUGCACAGAGGAGAGGAAGACCCAGUGCCCCACUCAGGAGAUGGGGACUUUUCAGGGUGCUAAAAACUAGUGGAGGGGGCCAGCGUUGUGGUGCAGUGGGUAAAGCUGCCACCUGCCACUCCGGCAUCCCACAAGGGCGCCGGUUUGAGUCUUGGCCGCUCCACUUUUUUUUUUUUUUUUUUUUUUUUUUUUUUUUUGACAGGCAGAGUUAGACAGUGAGAGACAGAGAGAGACAGAGAGAAAGGUCUUCCUUUGCCGUUGGUUCACCCCACAAGUGGCUGCUACGGCCGGCGCAUUGUGGCUAGCGUACUGCGCUGAUCCGAAGCCAGGAGCCAGGUGCUUUCUCCUGGUCUCCCAUGCGGGUGCAGAGCCCAAGGACCGGGGCCAUCCUCCACUGCCUUCCUGGGCCACAGCAGAGAGCUGGACUGGAAGAGGAGCAACUGGGACAGAAUCCGGCGCCCCGACCGGGACUAGAACCUGGGGUGUCGGCGCCACAGGCGGAGGAUUAGCCUAGUGAGCCACAGCGCCGGCCUGCUCCACUUUUAAUCCUGCUGCCUGCCAAUGGCCUGGGAAAAGCAGCAGAAGAUGGUCCAAGUGUUUGGGCCCCUGCACCCACGUGGGAGGCCCAGAUGAAGCUCCUAGCUCCUGGCUCUUUACUUCAGCCUGGUCCAGCCCUAAUGGUGUGGCAGUCUGGGAAGGAGUGAACCAGCAGAUGGAAGAUCCCCCCCCCACUUCCUCUCUGUAACUCUUUAAAACAAAACCAGCAGGGUUUGUGGUCUCUUCUCCGCCCCCCCCCCCCAAAUGUAAGGAAGAGGGGAAAUGGUACAUCUGCAUAUUCUGUGAAUAUCCAACGCGGAUGUCUCCGAAAACUUUUGGAAAUCUCAUGCUAUCUCCUUCGCUGGAGAGCUGGUCCCAGGUGCCCUUGUUGCUAGCAUCCUAGUCUGGGUGCCCAUGGCACCUGCCCCGUGCCACAGCCAGCACAGAGCUUCAGGGCUGGUCGCCACAGCUUUGGAAUCGAGGAAGGGAGCCCCCCUCGCCGGGUGGGGUUCUGACAGGCCUUGAAGUGAUCUGGGACCGCUGCAGGAGAUGGCGUAGGCAGGGGAGGCGGCCUCCUGGGGAGUGUGGACCCCAGGUGUCAAAGGCGUGCCCCGCCCCCUCCCAGAGGAAGGCAUCCUAGGCGCCAGGUGCCGACCUCUCUCCCCCUUUGCCCCUCUAGUGGCCACUCUGUGCUGUGGCUGUUGGGCUCACGGUGCCCAGAGAGGUGAAGGGGAGCAGUGUACCACACGUGAGCCCAAACACGUGCUCUUUUCUCAGCCCCCCCACCCCCGCCGGCCUGUUGCUCUCCUGCCUCCAGGAACUGCUGAGCCAAAGCCCCUUGCCUCCCCUCUCCCCACGCCCACAGACGCCUGUCUCAAGCCAGCAAAGGGCGUUGUGCUGAUUAAUAAAACAUUUUCCUGCAGCCUGGCUGGCAGGCUCAGGGUCUGGGCAGGGCUUAGAGAGAGAUGCUGAAGCGAGCGUUGUGCCCCCUCCUCUGCCCCCACCCCCACACACCAUGCUCGACUUUCUCAAUAUUUCCAUGUAAGGUCAGCUUCUCCUCGGAGGCACACAGGCUGCUGUGUCCCCGCUCUGAGCUGGGUGCUUUGUGCCUGGGCUGGCUUACGUGUGCUGACCUAGUGCUUUGCUGGAGUAGGGCCAGGAAGGACCCCUGGAUUGGGGGUCAGGAGAGCUGGGUGUGGGGCCCGCUUUCACAGGCUGCGUGGCCUCAGGCAGGCCACUGCCUCUCUCUGGUCCUCGGUAGCCUUAGCUGAAUGAUCAGGGAUUGGGCUGAGUGAGCUCCUGCCUCCUAGCCAGUCGCGCAAGCCUUGUGUCUCUGGCUCUUCCAGGGAAAGGAGGUCAUUAGCCUAGUAGCCUGGAUACUCUGCAGCCUAGAGAACCAGCCACGGAUGGUAGGGCGCCGGGGACCUUCCCAUUCCCGUUUCCUCUUCUCCCCAAAGACAGAAGUUAAAAGAGUCCUUGGCCAAAGCGGCCGUCGGAAACGCGGGUCCGUGGAGAGGCCCCUGGAGGUGCUGCUCGCAGGAACCUCCGGAGGUCUUCAGGGUACUUGAUGGGGACCCGGGAAUCCAGAGCAGGUCAGCAACCUCCGGCCCCGCAGGGCUGGGGCCCUGUGCUGAGAGACGCCAGGGCACUGCGAAUUCGGCUCUCUGGGCCCCUCUGGCUGGGCCAGGUGAGAGGGAAGCAUAAGAUAUCAUCAGCCCUAGAGUUGGUGCUGUGGCUCAGUGGGUUAAGCUACCACCUGCUACGCCGGCAUCCCAUAGGGCACCAGUUCAAAUUCUGGCUGCUCUACUUCUGAUCCAGCUCCCUGCUAACAUACCCAGGAAAGCAGCAGAAGAUGGCCCAAGUGCUUGGACUCCUGCACCCACGUGGGAGGCUUGGAUAGAAUUCCAGGCUCCUGGUUUUGGCCUGGCCCAACCCCAGCCAUUGUGACCAUUUGGGGAGUGAACCAGCAGAUGGAAGUCUCUCUCUCUCUCGCUCUCGCUGUUGCUCUCUCUCUCUCUCUCUCUGUAAUUCUACCCUUCAAAUAAAAUAAAUGUUGAAAAUAAGAAAGAUGCUGGUCCAGGGACCAAGAAGAGUCUUUGAGGAUGAGGGCAGGGAUGGAUGUCAGCCUGGUGGAGUCUGAAUUUACUCUGGUUUGCUGUCCCCCUUGGGACUGGUCCCCUUCAGCUGUCUCCCCAGCAGAUGGCAACGGGUCUGCCUGAGCUUUUCUGGGGGUGAGGGCCGUACCCGCCUUGAUGCAGUCUGUUCUGUUGCUGGAGAGGCUUGGCGAUCACACCCCUCCCCUUUGUAUCGGACCCAGGUCCACUUCCACAAGGACGAGGGCUUUGAGAACCCGGCAGGUACUGCUAGGAUGUGGCUCUGGAAGGCAGGGAUUGUUACAAUCAGAGAAGUCCCUGGUGGACUCAGUGUCACGAACAUUUCCAGGGUAUCUGUCCUGGCUCUGACUUAGCGCAACCCAUGCACAGCCCUGGCAGAUCCAAGCCCAUCGCGGGGUGGAGCCACCACCAGGAGAACAGUGGGGACCUGUGUGAGAUGGACGGGUGGGCUCUGGGACUGCAUGGAGCCCUCACCCAUGCUGAUGCUUCCAUCAGGAGCUGGCUUCCUCCAAGCCCCACCCAUCACCAAUUUACAUUUCUCCCCUGUUGUCCUGUUGGUCUGUAAAUGGCCCUUCCCUUCUCCAUCCCCAUUAUUUUAUUACCUGAGUUCCCCACAGGAGUGCAGGGGGAUCUGUAGAUUGCUAUUAGCAUCCAUGUGGGCAGCCUGGCUUGCAUUACCUUGAAUUAUGUGAAUGAAACCAACCAUUAAAUGAUCACAGAGGACCGGGGAGAGGGUAGACGUGUAGGCUCUCUCAGGCUGAGAGUCUCCCUGGCUUUCUUUCUAAGAGGCAGAGGGGAUGAGGACCAAAGGAGCCGUGGGAUGGUGCCUGGGAAGGGUCAGACGAGAGAGUUUCUCCUGGGGAGGCCCUCUCGCCGGCUCAGCCUCUGGAAGCUGGAGUCCACAGCCCCAGCCCGCACAGGCAGCCCUGCUCCUCAGUCAGGGCCUCCAGUCCGCACCCCAGCUCCUUACAGAAUGUUUGGCUCUGGGGCUACCCACUGGCCUGUCGCCGCCUCCUGGUGGUCUUGCAGGCUCUCUCCAGAGUGAGAAGCACCUGUAUGGGUCAGUCACACUGAAGGACAAAACUGUGAGACAGACAGGAGUGGGCAGUGAGUCAAGUGCAAGGUUUGUGUAUUUCAUGGCAAACAGUGAGGUGGGGAUGAGUCCAGACAGGAUGGGGUCCGUAACUCUGGGAUGCUACCUGUCCAGACAGGGCGGGCUCAGGGGAAUGGUCAGAUCUGCCCCUCCUGGAGGAAUCACAGAAGAGGCAGGACUUGGAGGAGUAUGCAAAUCACAGAACAUUGUGGGUAGGAAGGGACAGUGCUGUGGGGAUAAGGUGCAGGAGGGACUUAGAACAGGCCCUGUGCUCGUGUGUGUGUGUGUGUGUGUGUGUCCGAGUGUGAGUGUGUGAGACAGCCUGGGGAGGGGGAGCCUCAGGUCACCUGGGCCGUUGUUGACACUGAAGAACUUCUAGGUACUUAUUCUCUGUUUGCUACCACCAGGCCCUUCGCUCUUGGGAGAUUUGUGUGCUGAGAGGUGACCCUGACCCAGGGCAGUGUCUUCUGCCCCUUAGAUAGGCCCUCACCCAUCCGCUCCUUUUUCCAGAAAGUGACCUGGUGGGAGAAUCCAGGCAGGAUUGCUGGGGAAUCUUUCCCAAACCAGAGCAAUCUAGCAAUUCUUGGAUCAAUCCUGUUUGCACACACAUACACACAUACCUGCAUGCAUGCAUGCACACCACACAUGUGCACACCCAUACACAAUAUACACCACACACAUGAACACAUACCCACAUGCAUACACACACCACACCAUGCACACACACAUGAAUGUACACCACACACAUGCACACACAGACACAUACGUACAUGCACGGCACCACACAUGUGCAUGCACACACAUCAUACAUGUGCAUGCAUGUAUAUAGUGCACACCACACAUAUGCAUGCACACACAUAUACACAGCACACAGGCGUACACACACAUUGUUGGGGUGGGGGCAGGGAGCAACAAAAUUUCCUGCUGCAGGCGCCCACUUGAGUCUGCUGUUGCCCGUUUCCAAUAUUCAUUCAGCAAACAUUCCUGGUGUGCUGACCGUGGUCCCAGCCCCCUAGCGUGAGGAGCAGCUCCCCAGGUGUGGUUUGGAGCAGGACGCCUCCAGUGGGGCUCCCUGGAGAGUGAAAGGCUUCAGUCUAGGGGCUGGGGAGGAAGCUGAAGGGCGCAGCCGUCCCAGCAGCCCAGCCUGCAGGAACCCUCUGCCUCGGCAGGGAGGAUCAGAUCCCCGCCUUUUUCUGACUCUGGAAGAGGGAGAGAGCCUGUUCCGCUGUCUGUGCCCUUCUUGUGUUUACCUCCAAGUGCAGCUAGAAUUUUUAAAACACAAACUUUGUGUUGCAAAGAGGCACCCUCUGUAUUGUGCCACCCUCCCCUGUUUCAAGUUUACUGAUAUUUUCCCUUUGAGCUCCACAGUGUGGUACCCUGGCUGCACCUUUGACCUUGCUCUGUGGCCUGGGGCUGGCCUUGAGGCAGAUGGUCACCUACCAGGUGCUCUGCCUACAAGACCACCUGGGGAACCGUGGGGCUCUGCAUCUGUCUGCCUGCCUGGAGCCCAUUCUAGUGCACCUGUGCUCUGGCCACAGAUUGGGGAGCUCUGCCUUGGCAUCUUGGGUUUGGGCUGCCCAGGAGCCACCCCUACUCACCUGCUGCUCUCACAGUCCCAUCUGGGCCCUCCUCUGUGAAGUCUGCUUUAGUCCAGCACCACGUGCCAACCCAGGGAAGACAGAAGGAUCAGAGCCUGGUACUGGGGCCCAGGAGGAGGCUUGGCCCUUCUUCCUGCCCUGCCUUGCCCCAGCCGGGAGCCAGGCUACCAUGCAGCUAUGUAAGUGUCUGUUUCACUGCUUCUGCUGAGUUGCAAUAGAGUUAUAACCAGGAGGCAAUUCAGAGACCCUGGCCAGUGGUUGGGAUUAAGGAGUGGGAUAAAGGAUGCCUCUCCUCUUCCUUUCUGUGGAGAACUGAUUCCCUCUGAAUGCCGAGGGAGGCAGAGAAGCUGAGGCCUUGCUUAAGCAGGAAACCUCGGGAAAGGGAGGAAGUCCCUGUGUGUGUGGGUGCAGCGACAGGAGAGGCCAUCUGGCUGGAAGCAGUGCUCCCUGGCAGGAAGUUUUUCCUGAGGUCUGUCUGCCAUCCCUCCCGGCGGCCUCAGUUCCCUGCCUCAGGUCGGCUCUCACUGGAGCUGGAGAUGUGCUGGUCAGCCCCCUCUCCUCCACGUGAGAACUCUGACACUUGGGGCUUUGGCCAGGCUGUUUAUCUGAGUAGCAGUGGUAGGAAAGCCCCCAUAGAGCCCCCUAGUGCUCUCAAAUGGGGUUAUUCUCCCCACUUUACAGAUGAGCAGACUGAGGCACAGUGAGGGUGAGGAACUCGGCGAAGGUCACAUCACUACUCAGCAUCAGGAAAGGGCUUCAAGGUCAAGCUCUGGCUGCAGAAUCCCCUGCACCACAGCACUAGAUGGACCCCUCUGUUCACUACACUCCUUCGGACUCAGUUUCCCACAGCUUCUUCACUUCCUCCGUGGGGCUCCGAGUCAGUUAGCUUUUACCGCGUAACAGAUGACUCCGACAGCCAAAGAUGCAAAGCAUAAACAUUGGUCAUUUCCCACGAUUCUGCAGGCUGGCGUGGCCUGGGCGGUCGGGGCUGGCUCGGCGGGCCCUGCAGCACGCUGUGACCAGCAGGGGUGGCCUCACUCGCACAUCUGUGGAUGGGCCUGCCCUGGGGCAGCACAGGUGGAUGGCCUGGCGGUCGUCCCUCAUCGUCCAGCAGGCAAGCACAGACCCUGUCAAUAGUGGCAGGUGCCGGGUUUGAGGGCACAGCAGGAGGCGUGGUCAGAACCUAAUGUGCAAGUGCUCUCCGAGCCUCUGCUCAGGUCAUAUUUGCUAAUGUCCCAAUCACUGCCGGAAUCACACGGCCAGCCUCAGAUUCAGAGCGGAGAGGAAGGGACUCCGGCUUUUGCUGGAAGGAGCUGCCACAUCCCAUUGCGUGGGAAUACAAAAAGGACGGAAAUAAUCGGGGGUGGAUUUUGCAACCUCCCCCAGGCUCUUCACCGUGAACCACAUGGACUGAAUUGCAUAGUGGGAAAUGGUAGGGGGGUGUCCCUCAGCCUGGGGAAAAGUCCAAGCAGCUCCCACCAACGUCUUGCGUGUGGGAUGGAAUGCAAUGGAGUGGCCGUUUGGGUCAGGCUUGGGGCAGGCAGUGAACCGGCAGAGAAUGGGUUUUCUUCUCUGGCACACUACCUUCCUCCCAUCCCUAUGUUUCUACCACUUGCCCCAGGACAAAGGGGACGAAGCCACAGGCUCGUUCACUGCCGUGAUUGCGGUCGGAGCCUGUGCAGAGUACCCCAGGCCUGGCUCCUCCCAGGGGCCCCUGCUGUGGAGUGGGGGUGAAUCAGGGCCCGGGAUUCUGUGGGCAGACACACCUGUGUUCCCUUGGCAGCUCUGCCACUUCCCUGCAGUGGAACCACGCGGAAGUCCAUCUGGGACCCUCAGUUUCUCCUUUGGCAGUGGGCAUGCACGAUGAUGUUGUCAUAAAGUGCCUAGGCCAGGACCUGGAGCGUGUGAGCACCCAGUAUUAGCCAUCCUUGGGCCUUGGCCGAGCUCUGCUGCCCUGGUGCAUGGGCGGCAAUGGCCAGAUGACAGAGCCGUCCCUGGUAAAUAACUCUUGGCUCACCCAGGAUCACCAGAUGGUGUGCCAGCAACUUGGGCCAGGGAAGCACGGGGCAGAAGCUGCAGGGGGAGCAGAAGUGGGACUGGAGCCGCCCAAGGGCUGGGCUCUGUGGGCAUUGCUCAGCUAGGCACACAAGAAUCUAGCGAGGCUGUUGUCUUCCACAUGCAGAAGCUGGGAUGACGGCACCAGUGUCAGCCUGGGACCCCCAUCUUCUCUUCUCAGGGCCUCCUGCAGGCCCCCCUAGAAUACAGAACAGUCCCCCUCCGGCUCCCAUUUCACAUCCCAUCUCGAGAUGCCCAUCUUUGCAUACGGGAGGGCAUGAGAGGGUGUUCCUACUGUAGGUGAGGAAGGAGGUAGAGAGGGAGGGGCUUGGUAAAUGCUGGCAGCCGCCAUGGGAGCAAGCUGUGACCCCUGCACUAAGCGGAAGUCGACCUUGGCUUUCAGACACCAAGAAAAAGGAAGGAUAGUCCCCCCCCCACCACCCAGCAUCUACCCUUCCUCUCAUGGAGCUGCCCAGGGUAUAUCAGGAACGAGUUGGUCAGGAAAUUGGACACAUUCAACAAAGGCCAGCAAACGCCACACCACGCAGGUCUGGCGCGGGCGAGGAGGCUGCAGGGGCACGGUGGCCUCACUGGCGCCGGUGCUUGCUCUCUGAGGGACAGCUGAGGAUGUCCAGCGCAUAUGUGAUGAGCGCAGGUGGGCAGGCCCCUGUGUGGCCAGCCGGAAUCCUGGCUGCUGGGCCAGGCAGGAGCAAAGUGGGCCAAACAGAGAGAGCUUUGCCCCUGAACUGUGCCUCCCUCCUCCUGGACAGGAGCCCGGGCAAGGCCACCCCUGGCUGGGCUUCUCCCCACGGCUGUGGCAGGGAUGCCAGACGGCACGACUGCCCAAAGCAGGGCUUUGGUGGUAUGGAAAGUGGUGUUCAGAUGCGGCUCCUGGCUGCUCCCCAGCGCUGGGCUGCCCUCAGGCUCCUCCUUAGGAACAGAACUAUGGAAACAGCCAGCUCUGCUUUACUUCCCCCUACCCCCACCGCAGGACUGAAGCUCAUUCCCAUCUUAGCAGGAGACCAGGUUAGAGAGAAAACAUCCUCCCAGCCCCCGGCCCCCCAGAGUGAGGCAGGUAUGCCUCCAUCCAGCUCCUCUGCGUCUCAGCCUGGGUAUUCAACCUGAGCUCCCCACUCCCAUUCCGCCUCUGUCCCCCAGUUUUCCAAGGAUCCUCCCUGGCCACUUUCUGGGUUGGUGGCAGGUGCUACAGAGGCUGUGAUCUUGGGAACCCCGCUGGGUCUGGCCCUUGCCGUGGGGAGGGGAGGGGAAGAGAGGGAGGGCCCCCAGCCCUGGCUGCUAGCGUCCCCUACCCCCAGGGGGCCACCCUGUUUCCUGGUUUGGAGGGUGACUGAGGGCUGUGAGCCGUCCUCAGUGUUGCUAAGUUGCUAAGGCUCCUUGAGUAAUCACGGCAAAGGUGGCUGAGGGUUUUGUGGAGUGCAGAGGGAGCGGGCAAGCUUUCGAAGGUCUUGGGGAAGCAGGGGCCGAGCUCCCGCCCCCUGCUGCGUCGCUGCGACACGCAGAGGCAGUAGCAAUGAGCCCAGCCUGGCGCCCAGGCUGUUUGAGCACGUGGACAGAGUCCAGCUCUUGGAAUCUCAGAACAGUUCCCUUGCUGGCCGCCGUGCAGCCUGGCUUGCUCUGGAAGUGUGUGUGUGUGUGUGUGUGUGCGCGCGCGCAUGUGUGUGUGUCUCCCUUCUCCUGUAUGGAUCUGUCACCGGGUGAUAAAAUAGAACAUGAUGAGUGUCAUUCUAAAGUAAUUACCAGCAAGAUGCAUAAUGGCAGAGCUGGAGAACACGGCAUAUGGCCUCCGGCAGCCUCCGUGUGACAACUAAUCGGGAGAUUUUGUUCCCCCUCAGCACCACCACCUAUCCCGGCCACCGCCCUGCAAACCAGCUCCGGCGUCCUGGGGAGGAAAAGAUAACCAACGCCCCUGCUCCCGUACCUUCCAGGAGGACGCUGGGGCCCCUGGUGGAGAGGCGGGGCUGUCGAGUGAUGCUCUCUGCCAGGACGGAUGUUCAAUGGGGGGGACCCAGCAGCUGCAGAGCGGGGAGAGACGGGAGCAGCGGAGCAGCCCGCCCAAGCCUGGAGAGCCUUGGGGGAGUGGAGGCUGCAGCGAAGUGUUUUCAUUUGAUUUCAUCAGCUCAGACUCUGCUUAGCGUCUCUGUCGUCCCACUCCCGCAGCUUCCGGCUCCCGGCUCCCGGGCAGCUCCUCUGCCCUGCUCAGACGUCAGGGAGCGAAGCGAAGCUCCCAGGGCCUCCACUCUGCUGUCUGUCAGGGACCAACUUCUCCAGCUCUUCCCGGAGGACGGCUCUGCUUCUGAGCACUGAGGCUCUCUCCUACCCUGGCGUUGGGGACCAGGGCUGUUUUCUGGAGUAGAUGAAUGGGGGGACCUGCAGAAGUGAGCCCAGCCUGGUCAGGACAGGCACCCUUUAUGUAAAAGUUAAAUCAGGACCUUCCGUCUCUCACACUUAGGGUGAAAACACCUCUUUGCUGCACCCUACCCUGGCUGUGUGUGUGUGCGUGUGUGCGUGUGCGUGUGCGCGUGCACAUGCCUCUGUCUCAGCAUGUGUAUGUCAGGUGGGUUGGGGACAGAUUGUCUGUAGGCUGCCAGGUCACCCAGCACAGUGCCCAGGGGCCUACAGGUUUUACCCAUGUCUUCUGGAGGCCUGCCAGUGACCCUGUUAUGCCCUGAUUGGCAGGACAGACACUAGGCAGUCUGCCCUUUGCAGGAUCCCGCUCCACCCCCUUCCGCAAGUUGGCCCUCAGCUGGGAGAGUCCUUCCCUACCCCCUCCACUGACGUGCUCCCCUGGGCGUUGGCAGACUUGCUUUGUAAAGACCCAGAGAGUGAACGGUUUAGGCGUCAGGGGCCGUAGAUUCUCUGCCGUUGUGGCACAGAAUCAACCACGGACAACAGGUCAACGAAUGAGCCUGCUGCUUACAACAACUGGAGGUGGGACAGAGCUGGCCAAGGGCACAGCUGUAGAUGCCCUCCUUCGAGGCCACAGCAGCAUCUUGCUUUAAAAUCAAAGUGGAGUGAGGCUCCUCCAUGCUCCCUUCCUGGCACAUGCACGCAUGGGCUUUUUUUUUUUUUUUAACCUGGCAUCACACCCUUGUAGAACAUGGUACUGAAUGAACUUUAAAGGCACUUUCACUUGACUCACUUAUAUAGGGGGAAAAUUGAGGCCUUCAGCAGGGAAGCUAUUGGCCUAGGCCCACACUGCUGAUCGGAGGCAGAGGUGGGAUCUUACCAAGCCUGGCAACUUUAGGGCAGACCCCUUCUCUCUGCCACUUUGCCUUGUGCCCAGCCAUUCUUGUCCCUGGGGUAGACAGAGAGAUACAGAACCAACCACCAAGAUGUCACAGGUUGGGCUACGGUGUGUGUCUGUGUGUGGUUGUGUGCAUGUGUGUGGUGUUAGGGAGCUCUAAGGAACUGGAGGGUUUCCCCCAAGAAAGGGAAUUGCCCCCUCCCAUUGUGGUCCUGGGCCUUGUAGGCCCCAGGCCCCUGCUCUCAUUCUCUCGUAGACGCGGCAUUGAGGACAGCAAAGCAAGACGGUAACACUUCUGGUAAGGAAGAGAAAGAGCAAGGGACCCCAGUUGCAGGCUGGCUUCUUCCCCAGACUUCUGAACAAGACCAUCAUUUGCCCAGCCUGUUUUCCCUAUUAGUCUAACAGGGAGCUGUCCAGGCACAGUUGGGAGAAUAGGCAUUUUGUCCUCAUUGGCGGAGAGAGGGAAAGCUCGGGUCCUGAGUGGGCCUGAGAGGAGAGGCCGGUGCUUGGUCUCUGUGGAGCUAACCUUGGAGUGACUUGUGGGGCUGGGGGAGGGUUGGGAGAAGGAGCUGAACCCCAGCCUGGUGCUCAGCUGCACCUGACCUUGAGAUGAGGAACAUGGCCUAUCAGGAAGAGAAAAAGUGGGCCUCGAGAGCCCCGGCCAGGCCUGGAAGGGCUCCCGGAGGGUGCUGAGCUCACAGCCCAGACCCUCCAAUCAAUAGGGCAUGGCUAUUUUUAGCAUCAGCCGGAGAGAAACUUAAUUAUGAUCAAAAGGAGCUAUUUAAUACCGUGCUUGCCGAAGACGCAACCUCUUGUCAGUGGAAAUUAAUCAGCGGCUGCUGUGGGCUCCUGCCCCCUCGGGCUCCGGAACUGGGGAGGCGCCCGGCAGGAGUGCUGAUGACGCGGGCGCCCUCUGCAAGGCGCGCGGUGGGCAGUGGGCUCCCCAGGGUGGCAGGGAGGAGAAGGCUGCACCAGGGGCUCCUGGCUCAGCUCAAGCCCCGCCUCUCCCUGGAGCGAGCCCUGGCUGUUCCACCCUCCCGCGUCGCCCAGCACCUGCAGUGUGUCCCUCGUGCUCCCUGCUCUGGCUGGGGCUCCGCAUGCCACUUGCUGGCUGGGUGGCUUGAAGCCUCACUUUGCUUAUCUGUAAAUUAGGGACAGUAACCGCACACUCCUUCCGGGAUGGUUGUGAGGAUUGAAAUGAGCUGCCUGGCGCGUGGCGAGCCCCCCAUCCUGCAGACCGCUGUUACAAGGGGGUCUGCAACAAGGUCUUGGGAAAUGCACCUUAGGAGGAAACGAUGCAUGGAUGUUUCCUUGAAUUCCAUUUCCUGUAAACUGUUUGGAGUCCCCUCGUGCCCCUGCCGCCACCACCAUUCCCUGUGUGUCACCUCUGUCUGCCCUCAGACCUCACGUUUCUCUCACUUGGGGUGACCCCUCAGCGCCUAGCACAUGCUGCUGUGAACAGGGUGUGCAAUAAACAUUGGUCCUUUAGUCUCUGAUUCAAAAGCUGAAAGACUGAUGAUGUCACUGAUUCAUUUAUUAAUUUUUUUCUAAAAGCCCUCUGUUAAGCCCUCAUGUGUCAGGUGGUGAACCAGGCAGACAUUGAAGGUACAGAAACCAUUCAGUGUAGGUGAACUAUGUGCCAAGCUGCUCCCUGCCUGGUGAUGAGUGACACGUGUGUAAGUGGACCAUUAUGAUGCCACAUGAGAGCAGUAAUCCAUGUGUGGCCAAGGUGAACAGAGGCACACAGGCACCAAGGAUGGUGACAAAUGCCGCCAGAGACUUCCUGGAGGAGGUGGUAUUUAGAGUAGCACUUGGAUGAAGACUGCCAGAGCUGAGGGCAAUACAGAGUUGGAGGAAGAGUGAUGAGCACAUGCAGAGAAAGGCCUGGGGUUGUGAAGCAGAGGAAGAGGGAGCAAACAGGAUCCGUUCAUGACCGCAGUCCCUCCCGGCUUGUCUCGAAGCUGAAGGAAGGAGGCACCCUGGCUGGGGAGGGGGCCUCAGUUGUUCCAUCUGCUCCAGGCUCCAGGCUCCGGGCUCAGAGCACCGCUUUGACAGGUAGCAAGGCCCAAGCAGGGGGUGGGUGAGGCAGCUGUGGGACCCCCACCACCUCUCGUUAUCAGCCAGCUUUUGCUGGGGCCCCCAGUUGUCCCUGUCUUUCUGAUGCUGGGGGCUGGGGCGAGGGUGCACUUGCUCAGAGCUGAGAAGCAGCUGUCACUGCACAGGCACGAAGGCUGGGAGGUGCAUGUCCACGGCUCUCUGUCAGCUCCUUUACUGGAAGAUGGACGGGCACUGCUCUGCAGAGCCAUGGAUGAUAAUGGUAGCCCCCCAGGAGGCACCAAGGUGGGCUUCUCACGAGGUGCUGGAAUGACUUCCCUGAUGGUGCCAGUCACCUUCCAGUGCGGGGAAUGAAGCGGCUGGGAGUGUCAGCCUCGGGAAACCACUUGGGUGCACUCAGCAGCUGAGACCCAAGGAGCUGGCCUGGCUGCCCACGCACCAGAGGUGGGAUGAGGGGGGCAAGGCCCCCAGGGUCGGGUUCUGGUUCCCCUCAGGGGUCCCAGCUUGCUACUGGAAUUAUUACACCAGGUGCUUGCAACUGAUUUUCAAUUUGCAAAGCAAAACGAAUUUGCAUUAAUCAGAAAGAUCCACAGGAAAGACUGUUUAGGUUUUCAUGCAGCUGCCAGAGCCAUUUGGAUUCCAAGCGUGCAGGAGGCUCUGCUACCCUGAUGCCAUCAUGGGCUCGUUAUCUCUCCAAGGACCCGGUCACGUCUGCAGGCAGAGACUUCCUCCCUGGUCUCAGGUGGCCUCCUCCCCCUGAACACUGGAAGACUCGACAGGGAAGUUGGGAUGGAGGCCCUGUUGCAUCCCAAGUGGCACUGCUCCCUGUAAGGGCAGUGUCAGGAAUGUGUCUUGUCUACAUGGGACUUACUGGAGGCCAGGACACUGUGACCCACACUCAGUUCCUCUCUUGGGCACUUGGUCCCACAGUGACUUUUUUUUUUUUUUUUUUUUUUAUAAGAUUCAUUUUAUUUCUUUGAAAGGCAGAGUUACAGAGAGAGAGGGAGAGACAGAGAGAAAGAGAGAUCUUCCAUCUGGUGAUUCAGUCUCCAGAUGACUGCAACAGCCAGUGCUGGGCCAGGCCAAAGCAUAGGUUCCACUGGGAGUUGAUCACCUAGAGGUGCGGAAGCAGAAGUUGUGUCCAGAGUGGUACGUUGCCAUAUGAAAAAAUGGCAGUAGCGUUAGAGAGUGGGAAGUGACAGGCAUGGCGGUUUUUCCAUGCAGUGGGUAGGGAAGGCCCCUUUGGGAGGUGAUCAGCGAGCAACUCACAGGUCAAGGAAGAGGAAAUUCCAGAUAGAGGGAGCAGAAGGGCCAGUGGGAGCAGACCUGGGAUGUCUGAGGACCAUCAGGAAGGGAAGGGGUCCCUGGGAGGCCACCGUAGGCCCCGGGGUCUGUCCCAGCCCUCCUGCUGUGAUGUUCCUGCCUUACUUUUCUGCUGAGCUUGUGCCCAGGGCUAAGGCUGCGUCAUCAUUGGUAUCUGUGUCUCUAAUGCCCAGUACAGUGCCUGGCGGACAGUCAGAGACCCUGUGGCCACCUCGGGUGAAUGAAAGGAGGAAGAUGAGGGAGGGGAGGAGGAAGAGCAGGAAGGACAAAGAGAGCAGGCAUGAGUGUGAGGAGCAGCAUAUUGCAUCCUGGGAAGCCCACCCUGGGGUUCUGUCCCUUCUCCCACAGGGGACGCAGUGGAUGACCCUGCCCUUUAAUGGACUCAGCCACAUAGAAUUCCUUCUCUUGGUAAUUUGAAGCACAAGGAAGGAGGUGUGCCCAAUCGGGAGCAGUUUCGGCUCUUCUGUACCUGCAGGUAGGCACGCCAGCUCAGGGGAAGUCAGAGUCAGCAGAUGGUGUGCUUGGGGGCAGCCCUGCCCAGCCUCCUGGCCUGUGUGUCCCCCCUGCCCCCAGUGCACAGCUGCCACAUCUCGUUGGUCCUUCCUGAUCUCUGCAGAGGGGACACUCUUGGAAGGGUCAGUAGCUGACCAUGGGAAGUGGGGAGGGCCCUGCUGUCAGGCCCACACUCAGGUCACAUGACCCGAGAGAUGAGAGGUGCUAUCUUAGAAUGGAGAAUGUUCCAGACUCUCAUGGAAAUGCUGUUGGAAGCCGGCGCCGCGGCUCACUAGGCUAAUCCUCCACCUUGUGGCGCCGGCACACCGGGUUCUAGUCCCAGUCGGGGCACCGGAUUCUGUCCCGGUUGCCCCUCUUCCAAGCCAGCUCUCUGCUGUGGCCAGGGAGUGCAGUGGAGGAUGGCCCAAGUGCUUGGGCCCAGCACCCCAUGGGAGACCAGGAGAAGCACCUGGCUCCCGGCUUCGGAUCAGCGCGGUGCGCCGGCCGCAGCGCGCCGGCUGCAGCGGCCAUUGGAGGGUGAACCAACGGCAAAGGAAGACCUUUCUCUCUGUCUCUCUCUCUCACUGUCCACUCUGCCUGUCAAAAAAAAAAAAAAGAAA